RNAcentral lists this ribosomal RNA (388 nucleotides) under uncultured bacterium. RNAcentral's name for it is "bacterial SSU rRNA". It matches the Rfam family "Bacterial small subunit ribosomal RNA", at positions 28 to 417 of the family's 1533-position model. The record is from RNAcentral.
GACGAACGCUGGCGGCGUGCUUAACACAUGCAAGUCGAGCGGUAAGGCCCUUUCGGGGGUACACGAGCGGCGAACGGGUGAGUAACACGUGGGUGGCCUGCCCUCAGCUCUGGGAUAAGCCUGGGGAACUGGGUCUAAUACCGGAUAUGACUCCAUGACGCAUGUUGUGGGGUGGAAAGCCUUGUGCGGCUGAGGAUGGGCCCGCGGCCUAUCAGCUUGUUGGUGGGGUGANGGCCUACCAAGGCGACGACGGGUAGCCGGCCUGAGAGGGCGAUCGGCCACACUGGGACUGAGACACGGCCCAGACUCCUACGGGAGGCAGCAGUGGGGAAUCUUGCGCAAUGGGCGAAAGCCUGACGCAGCGACGCCGCGUGAGGGAUGACGGCCU